Molecule: long non-coding RNA, 8225 nt
Filed under: Trifolium pratense (red clover)
Lineage: Eukaryota; Viridiplantae; Streptophyta; Magnoliopsida; Fabales; Fabaceae
Description: long non-coding RNA (TPRA_LNC008926)
Source: RNAcentral
UUUAAAGAAAGGAAAACGAAACUGCUCCACCGCUUCUUCACUCGAAACAUAGCUUUCCCUCCGCCUUCACUUGACCAAAACUGUCCGCCGGCAAAACGUAGCUCUCUCUCCGCCGCUUCUCUUAACUCACAGCAGGUUUCACAGGUUCGAAAAGGAAAUCGCAGUUUCUGAUUUCUAUUCAGUUUCAAUAAAUUUCGAACUCCAUUUUCCAUUUCAAUUUCAACUUAGGGUUUCAAUCAAUUUCUCUAGUUAGGGUUUCCUUCUUCUUAUGAGUGACCUGAUUUGUCAGUGAAAAUAUUUUCAAAUGUAGCAUUCCGCGUGCAUUGUCUGUGCUUUUUGUAGGACUGGUUAGAUGAUUAAGUGCAUGUAGUGCUGGUUGAUUGUUAGAAGAUAGGAGUAACAACAAGCAAAAAUCAUUUGAGGUAAGCUUUCUGACUUAUUUUUGAGUUUUAUUGAGUGCACUUAAACUGUUUGAUAAAAGUUCUCUAUGGUUGGUUUUCCUUAUUAAUCUAGAAAUACAAGAGUUUUUCAGAUUUUUAACAAAGAAUCUAGAGACAUUGAGUUUUGUGACAUAGAAAUAUGAAUAUAGAAUUUGAUUGAAGGAGACGUUUUAUGAUAAAGUAGUACACAAAGUGGAUAAACAUUUGGACAUGAUCAUAUGAUAGGGUCGUUAAUUUAUUUCUGACAAAGUGGAUCCAGGAAUUUUAGUAAGUGUGGUCAAAAUUAUAACGUAAUAAAAUAUAAAUUGUUAUUUAUAUAAUUUUAACAUUUUCUUAUACAAAAUUACUUAUUUUGGUUUAUUAGUCAAUACUCUUAAGAUACUCAUUAGUAUUAUAAAUUAGUCUUAUUAAUUUUAUAUUUGUUAUAGUGCAAUAAAUUGACUAUAUAAAAACGAUAAUACCAAAUAUAUGGGGUCACAUUGCAUAAAUAAUACUAGUAUUAACUAAAAAUAUAAUAGGCAAGUGGGGUCAGGCAAGUGGGGUCGGCUGACCCCACUGCCCCCACACUAAAUCCGUCCCUGAGUCGACAUUCCGAAUAUAUGAUUUGUUUUUAGUUACAUUUUGAAUAUAUGAUUUAAUAAUUUAGCUCCAUCGUUCAUGCUUUUACUUUCCUAUGUUAAUUUGUGACUCUAAGGUUGUCCACUGUUGUUGUAGUGACCAAUCAUAUGUAUAUGACUUAGCACAUACUAUAUAAAUUGCGUUUUUUGACAAGACUUUGUAAAACAUUAUUUCUUCCAAGACCUUUUUAAUCCUAAGCGCCUUGAACUAUUAUGAUGUCAAUUGGUAAGGGCAUACAAUAAUUAGUAAGUGCAUAUAAUUGGUAAGUGCAUACAAUAAUUAGAAGCUGAUACAAUAAAAUUGAAGCAUAAUAUGAAAGUAACAUUUCUUGAGUUUGAUCAUGUGAAUGAUGUUUACUUAAAAUAUAUGUACCUCAGUAUAUAUGUGUAUUUGUCGGUUUGUUAAUGUUUAUUUUUGUAUUCCUUCACUUUGAUAUCUUAUUGAUUUUGAUAUCCUGCAUAUUGUGUUUUAAAAUGAUAACAGUAACAUAAUAGAUUCUUUGUGAGUCAAACUCAUGAUAAGAGUUAGAGUCUCUAUUAGUGUUUCAAUUUAGUCUUAUUUCUAUAUCUAGAAAACUCAGUCCCUAAAUUGUCAAUUAGUGUUCUCACUAAUUGCCUUGUUCUGUUCCGAAUUCUGUACUUUAUAGUGUUAGGCUUAGUUUCAACGUUUUAACAGUUUUAGAUCUGUUAUAUAUUUUUGUAUCAGAAUGUAUGAAGUCUAAUUUUAUGAAUUAUCAUUGCAAACUUGUUCAGCUAUCAUGAAUAUUGAUAAGUCUUGGAUUUUAAUUGCAUUGAUGAUGAGUAUGUGGAAUUGGCUACAAACCAUAUCGUUGGUGACUUUGAAACAAAUGCGCACAUGUCUGAGUAGAUUAGUAUAGUUUAUUUUGUUAUUUAGUUAAAGGUAAACAGUUUUAAUGUAGUUAAAGCUGUGGUUAUUUUGUUUUGAAGUUGUUAAUUUUAUUCAUUUUGUAUUACCUCAUGUAUGAAGUCUCAACCUCUCCAAUUCAGAAGGAUAUGUGAGUAUACGGCAGGGAGAAAAACUUCUCUUUAGGGUUAUAGUGUAAUCGUCGCAACUCCCAAUUCCGUCUCAACCUCACCAAACCGUCACCAACGAGUAUUGAAUUGUGUGAACGUGAACCUGUAGCCAUGAAAUCCCGAUGGAACUUCUAAGGUAUGAUUAUGUAAUUAAUAAACAGUAAUCUCAAAUCCUUCUCUUUCGUUGGUAGAUCUGAGAUUCUUACUCGGAACAAAUUUUUAGGGUUUUUUACUUCUGAGAAGUAGAAGCCGCUAGUUAUUCACACUUUCAAAGGUAACCUGCUACUCUCUCUCACUAACCAAUACAAUUUUCAUCGGAACAAAUUUUUAGGGUUUUUGAUUUACUGUUACUUAUUAUAUUAGAUCUAUUUGGUCGAAUGGUUCAGAUUGAGACGUGGACAAAGAAUGUUGGGAUCGCCUCUGUUGAAGCUUGAACUUCGACUAACACAUGAGUUGAGGUAAUUACUUGAAAUAUUUCGAUGUUGCGCGUUUGGUUAUGAAAUUUUGAUUGAUUUGAUUUUGUAGUAAAAUGUUGGUAAUCAGUGAGAUUAGAAGAAUCAGAUUUAAGUGGCAGUUAAAACCCCAGCUAGAUUUCACUGUCGCAAAACAUUUCGGGGAGGUUAAAAAUCCCCGUAAACUGGCUUUAAAACCCCCUCUAAAUAGCGCAUUUUUUAUAGUGGUCUAUGUUUAAAUCCAUACUUAAUCUCCACACUUUUUUCCUUCAUCAACGUUUUAAACCAUUGAAUUUUCCUUAAUAAGGUUUUUAAUAAGAGUGUUUCUUACACCUUUAGUCUUGGUCUACUCCCUUACGUUUAUUUUAUGUUUCAAUUUGGUCCCUUACGUUUUUACCGUUUGUAAUUGUGUAAGUUAGUCCUUUCUGUCAGUUUUGUCACAUGUGGCAACUAGUUUGCAUAUGUGGACAGACACGUGGACACUUGGACACACUGACACGUGUAUAGUUCAAAUGGUGUUAGUGACAAAAUUAACGGAAAAGACUAAAUUGAAACCUAAUUGAAACAUAAGGGACCAAAUUGAUACUUUUUAAACGUAAGAGACCAAAUUGAAACCUAUAAAAUAAACGUAAGAGACCAACGUAAGAAACCUAUAAAUAAAAACUACUAAAUUUCAUUGAUGAAUUAUCUGAUACAAGGUAAAAUAAACUAACACAAACAUCAAAGACAUCCAUCCAUUUGCUAAUAUAACAAGCACCACUAGAAAAUAACAUAAUCUCACACCAUAACAUUAUUUAACUAGGACAGUUAAACACUUGCAAAAAGGUUGAAGGAAAAAAUACACCAAUCUUAAUAUAUUUCACAUAACUUAUAAUGCUCAUAUCAAAUGAUUCUUUUACUAACUUUGACAUUCAAGCCAUGUUUCAUGCGAAGAAGAAUAGAAAUCCUUGGAGUUACAGAAUGACCGUCCACAACUUGUAGGCAAAAGUUCCAUAACAUAGCAGCAGCAACCAUUUUCAUUUGAACAAAGCUAAUAUCUUUCCCAAGACAACUUCUAGGACCUGCAUUGAAUGCUAUGAACUUGUAAGAUGGUUCAUGUUUAAUUUGUCCUCUCUCUGAUAUCCAUCUCUCCGGCUUAAAUUCCAACGAAUCCUUACCCCAUAUUUGUUUCAACCUUCCCAUUGCGUACAACGAGAAUACCAACUUUGUAUUUGGACUAACAUGUUCUCCACUAGGUAAUAUAUCAGAUUUGAUUGCACACUUGUGUUGAAAUGGUACAGGAGGAUAAAGCCUCAAGGUUUCACAUAUAGCUCCAUGAAGGUACACUAGCUUAUCAAGUUUUUCUAUGCUUAAAUCAUCUAUCAAAUUCUCUUGUGUUAGACAAUUAUCUUUGAUCUCUUGAAUGAUUUUGGCUUCCACAAUAGGAUGAGUUGAAACAAGCCAAAAGAACCAACUGAGAGCUGAACUAAUUGUUCCAUUUCCUGCACCCAGGAGAUUGACCGCAGUGUCUCUAAUAUACUUCUCAUUCUCGACUAAACCUUCCGUUUUUAUUAGCGCCUUGAGCAAGCAAGAAUGAUUUUCAUACACAUCUUCGCUGCUUCUCAAUCUUGUUUUCUCUUCAUCGCCUGUUAAAUAUAGUAUACAUUUUGACAAGAAUUGGUGAAGAUUUUCUUGUGCUACCUUGUUCGUCUUCUCUUGACCAAUUUGUAGCCAUUUUUGUAUCUUCCAAAUAUAUUUUGGAAUAUAGUGCCUUUUAAAUUGCGUAUCCUCAAUCACGGAAAUGGCUUUUAGAUAAUCUAUCUCUGAUGAGAACUCGUCAAACUUGUAAGGAAGACAAUUAGGAUCAAAUCCAAAUAACGAAGUGCAUGUAAUAUCAAAGGUGAGCCUCUCAAGAAUAUCUUGUAAAUCAAGUACUGGUACACCUUUAGAAGCAUGAUGAUCAAGAAAUGGAAUGAGGCAAUUCUCCAGCUUCUUUUGAAUAAUUUGUUGAAAGAUUAUCUCAAAGCUUUUGAUUUUCAGUAAUGUAUGAAGCAUUGUCCUCUCUUGUUUCCAUUCAUUGAAAUCUAAAUUGAAAAUACCAACACCGAGAUGUGGUUCACAUUCAUAGGAUCACUAGUGAGGAUAAAGUUAGCAAUAUUUAUGAACCAAGGUCCUUUAAUACGAUAAGUGCUUCCAUAAUGUUUAAAUCCUAAGGUUACAUAAUCAUGANNNNNNNNNNNNNNNNNNNNAUGGUUUCGCCACAUAUAGUAGAAUAUGAUGAAGAGAGUGGCUACAAAUAAUGUAAUAUACUGAAACAAAGUCAUUGUUUUAAGGCUAAAGUGGAUAUGUGAUACAAGUUAUGUCUUUGUUCUUGUUCAAAAAAAGUUAUGUCUUUGUUAUUCAAGUACACUAAUAUAUAUUCAAAUUUAAAUGUGUAUAUUUAUGAUGAGUGGAGCAACAUCAACCACCCUUUUAACCAUACUAUCCAAGCUUUGGAUUUUGGAUGGGUUGCAUUUAAAUAAGUUGUUGAAGUAGGUAGGACUCAAUUUGUGACUGAGGAGAAAUAUGUCAGUUUUGAAUUGAAUAAUUAUAGAAAUAUGGGCUAAUGUUNNNNNNNNNNNNNNNNNNNNNNNNNNNNNNNGACAAGUGAUAUACCGAAUAUGAAUUUUACGAAAUUCACUGUUGGAUUGAAAGUUUAUAUCGUAUAGAUCAUCCAUAAAUUUUUUAAAUUUUUUUGAAAAUCAUUUGAUAUGUUAUUGAGACUUAUCAAAAUUUACGUUAUUUAAUAAACCGUUAAUCUUGAUGUGUCUCAAUAACAUAUCAAAUGAUUUUCAAUUUUUCUAAAUUUUUCUAUGAAUGAUUUAUAUGAUAUAAAUUUUCAAUCCAACGGUGGAUUUUAUAAAAUUCGUAUUCGUUAUAAUAUUAUUCAUGACUGGUCCACCAUGGUCCACUUGAUGAAGUGGUCUAUAUUAGAAUUUCCCAGUUUUGAAUUGAAUAAUUUUGGUACUCUAUCAGUGUCCUUUCCUGUAUAUCAUAUAAUGCAAUUUUGACCAGUCAAUUCAUAAAUAACAAUAUAUGGGUGUUAAAAAAUACAAUUAACUGAACUAAAUUGUGAAUUAAAUUACAUUGAACCAUAUUUUAAAUUGAACCAUCUGAUAUGGUUUCAAAUUGAACCACCUUUUAAAAAAAGGUUGUCGCAGUUUGAAAUAUUUUGUUAAAAAAAAAAAAGGCUGCGACAGUUUGAAAUGACUAGUAAUAUUUUGUGCUUCCUUCACAGUUUUUAUGCUUCUCCACCAUCAUGUUGCGGAAGUUCAUGAUGGUAUCAUAGCUCUUCUGAGUUCUGUUGCGCAUCGCUUCUCUUUCUGUAAUGGCUUGAGAUGGUUCCAGCACCGCCGGUGGCAAUGCCACCACCAUUGUUUACGGUGAUCGUCCAUAAAAUCCUGGUGAUGUUUACUAUGUUCAUGCAUUCGAUGGUCCUUCUUGGGCGCANNNNNNNNNNNNNNNNNNNNNNNNNNNNNNNNNNNNNNNNNNNNNNNNNNNNNNNNNNNNNNNNNNNNNNNNNNNNNNNNNNNNNNNNNNNNNNNNNNNNNNNNNNGAAAGACAAAAAUUCUACUACAAAGAUUAGUAAAGAUGAUUGUGACCUGGUAGUGCCAGGAUCCCUUAAGAUAGGGGUCGGCCAUGUUAAAUAAAAAAAGCGCCUUUUAGAAAGUCAAUUAUAGUAUGUAUACAUAUACACAUUAUAGUAUAUACGUCUAAUAUUAAAAUAGAUCAUGAAGUGUAACUUUUAGAAAUCUAUAGAGACAACUAAAGAGAAAGCAAAGAUGAGCGGCUGAACUAUCCUCACGGCUGUUUGCGUGUCUAGGAUUUUGGUUUCCACUAUAUGUUAACUGUCUAAUGGAUGACAAUUAUAUGGAUUGGGGUUCGAUGUGCAGUCUGCCACAUAUAGACCGUCUGAUCUAUGUCUGAUCAUAGAUUAGACGGUCCAAAUUUUAAGAUCAGAUUUCAUAAGUAAAAUAGAUCUUAAAAUCUAAGCCGUCUGAUCUUGAUUGGACAGUCUAAAUUUGUUGACUGCAUGCAGUCACACUGCCCAUAGUCAUCAGCCUGUUAUUUUAUUUAUGAUUUUUUUAAUCUAUGUAAAAUGUUCAAAUGCGACAAAUAUCGUGAAAGACAAAGGGUGAGUUAGAAAAUAGGGGAAAUUACACUAACCUCUCUGAGGUUACUUUAAAUAACACAAACACCUUCUCUAAUUUUAAAACAUACACUAACCUCCCUGUAGUUUUUAUUAAGGGUCCGUUUGGUGCACAGGAUAUGAUAAUGAUAGGAUAGGAUAUAAAACAGGAUAAGGAUAGGAUAGGAUAUCAGCAGGAUAACAAUUAUCCUCAGUUAUCCUAUAUUGUGUUUGGUGCACACAGGAUAACAAACAUGAUAACUAAUAUAUCANNNNNNNNNNNNNNNNNNNNNNNNNNNNNNNNNNNNNNNNNNNNNNNNNNNNNNNNNNNNNNNNNNNNNNNNNNNNNNNNNNNNNNNNNNNNNNNNNNNNNNNNNNNNNNNNNNNNNNNNNNNNNNNNNNNNNNNNNNNNNNNNNNNNNNNNNNNNNNNNNNNNNNNNNUUUAUUCAUCUACGAUCGAAAAAACUAAAAAUAUCGUAAUCAAAAUGUAAUGUCUUCAAUCCCACAUUGAUCAAUAUUGUUGUUUCUACACAUCUUUAACUCUUGUAUAGAUAUGUCUAAUAUGUGCCUAAAGAGAGUAUAAGCAAAGAAAAAAUAAUUAUUUUUUGGGACACUUGUCCGACACGUGUCAUCCGAGUGUCUUACAGGUGUCGGACACCGAUUAAAGGAGUGUCAAACUAAAGAAAAAAAUUGAAUUUUUUCCGACACCGAUAUGAGCUAUUCGACACGUGUCGGACGAGUGUCAUACGAGUGUCGGACACCGACACGUGUCGGACACCGCGACACGCCUAAUGAUAGAGGUGUCGGUGCUUCCUAGCAAACACCUUCUCUAAUUUUAAAACAUACACUAACCUCCCUGUAGUUUUUAUUAAAUAGACACACAACUCCCUUUUUGGUUAACACCAUUAGAUUCUCCGUUAUAUAACAAAAGCUGAAGAAGAAAAAAAAACACAGAAUUUCAAUCUCAACCAGCAGCUGCAAAUCAAUGUACGUUGCACCUCUAAUAAUAUAACUACACUAAGAUUUGGAAACACGAGACUUUUGUUGCCUUUAGGAAGCAAUUGUUAUUGUGAUACUAAAAAUGCAAAUGAAUCAAUAAGAAUGUCAGAAAUACUCAAUCAAAUGGUUUUCUUUUGCUGACAAUCACAAUUUGUUUCAUAAUUUAGUACAGGUUGCAACUUUUCCAUUAAGUAGUACAUGCUUUAAUUGGAGCUUCGUGAGAAUUAAAGGGAUGAGAUGAGGUUAGGCUGGAGCAAUCUGGUUGAAACGAAUGACAAGAACAACAACAACGUAAACCCCUCGAUACGAACAACAAGAACGGUGGUGCAAAAACGGACGAGAACGAGCAAGCACAACAGUAGGAAGAUAAUUUCUUGAGAGAAUGGAAGGGUUUCAGUUUUUAGAGUGUAUUAUGAAAGAGAAAACCAAAAGUUUCUCUUUUUUAACGGCAAUUUGACGGGAGUAUAACUAGAGGGGAGGUUUACAAUGCUUGUGAAAAUAGAGGGGAGGUUAGUUGCAUUUAGAUCAAACUUAG